Molecule: ribosomal RNA, 203 nt
Filed under: uncultured Lactobacillus sp.
Lineage: Bacteria; Bacillati; Bacillota; Bacilli; Lactobacillales; Lactobacillaceae
Description: partial 16S ribosomal RNA
Rfam family: Bacterial small subunit ribosomal RNA
Source: RNAcentral
GAUGCUAAUACCGGAUAACAACAGAUGAUGCCUAUCAACUGUUUAAAAGAUGGUUCUGCUAUCACUCUUGGAUGGACCUGCAGUGCAUUAGCUAGUUGGUAGGGUAACGGCCUACCAAGGCGAUGAUGCAUAGCCGAGUUGAGAGACUGAUCGGCCACAUUGGGACUGAGACACGGCCCAAACUCCUACGGGAGGCAGCAGCG